UGAGCAGGUGCAAUGAAAGAUCCUAGAA
This 28-nucleotide non-coding RNA is filed under the name Rattus norvegicus (Norway rat). The record is from RNAcentral. Lineage: Eukaryota; Metazoa; Chordata; Mammalia; Rodentia; Muridae.